UAGAUAUUAUAAAUCUUCAGCUAUAGAAA
RNAcentral lists this non-coding RNA (29 nucleotides) under Mus musculus (house mouse). Lineage: Eukaryota; Metazoa; Chordata; Mammalia; Rodentia; Muridae. The record is from RNAcentral.